AGGAUGAACGCUGGCGGCGUGCUUAACACAUGCAAGUCGAACGAUGAAGGCUGGAGCUUGCUCUGGCUGGAUUAGUGGCGAACGGGUGAGUAACACGUGAGUAACCUGCCCCAGACUCUGGGAUAAGCGCUGGAAACGGCGUCUAAUACCGGAUACGAGCUUCCACCGCAUGGUGAGGAGCUGGAAAGAAUUUCGGUCUGGGAUGGACUCGCGGCCUAUCAGCUUGUUGGUGAGGUAAUGGCUCACCAAGGCGACGACGGGUAGCCGGCCUGAGAGGGUGACCGGCCACACUGGGACUGAGACACGGCCCAGACUCCUACGGGAGCAGCAGUGGGGAAUAUUGCACAAUGGGCGCAAGCCUGAUGCAGCAACGCCGCGUGAGGGACGAAGGCC
Molecule: ribosomal RNA, 393 nt
Filed under: uncultured soil bacterium
Lineage: Bacteria
Description: bacterial SSU rRNA
Rfam family: Bacterial small subunit ribosomal RNA
Source: RNAcentral